CCUACGGGAGGCAGCAGUAGGGAAUCUUCCGCAAUGGACGAAAGUCUGACGGAGCAACGCCGCGUGAGUGAUGAAGGUUUUCGGAUCGUAAAACUCUGUUGUUAGGGAAGAACAAGUACCGUUCGAAUAGGGCGGNACCUUGACGGUACCUAACCAGAAAGCCACGGCUAACUACGUGCCAGCAGCCGCGGUAAU
This 195-nucleotide ribosomal RNA is filed under the name Bacillus sp. DH-9. RNAcentral's name for it is "partial 16S ribosomal RNA". It matches the Rfam family "Bacterial small subunit ribosomal RNA", at positions 338 to 524 of the family's 1533-position model. Lineage: Bacteria; Bacillati; Bacillota; Bacilli; Caryophanales; Bacillaceae. The record is from RNAcentral.